Molecule: long non-coding RNA, 451 nt
Organism: Ailuropoda melanoleuca (giant panda)
Lineage: Eukaryota; Metazoa; Chordata; Mammalia; Carnivora; Ursidae
Exons: 3
Source: RefSeq, a predicted model, not a curated record
UUUUAGGAAGAAGCACAAUCCUCAGCGAAAUGCCAAAUGGUUGAUCUCUGUCUGUGGAAUUCUUCAGGAAUAAGAUUUGGAAAUUCAAGAAUACAGCCACACCGCUAGUGUUCCCCUGAGACCAUAAGGAAAAAGCAAUUUCAUUUUGAGCAUAGUUAAUCCAGUGGGUUUGGAAGACAGACAGACUUGGAGGAUCCAACUUCCAUUUAUCAGCUAUGUGACUUUGGACAAAGAACUUUACACCUCAGUGCCAGAGCAUCUCAUCUAUAGAAUGAGAAAAGUGACGAUGCUUGUCUCCUGGAGCAUUAGGACAUUGAAGAAACACACUAAAUGUUCAUUAAAGGAAUAAGUAAGUGAGGGGCGCCUGGGUGGCACAGCGGUUAAGCGUCUGCCUUCGGCUCAGGGCGUGAUCCCAGCGUUAUGGGAUCGAGCCCCACAUCAGGCUCCUCUG